UACGGAGGAUCCGAGCGUUAUCCGGAUUUAUUGGGUUUAAAGGGCGCGUAGGCGGCCUAUUAAGUCAGGGGUGAAAGACGGUAGCUUAACUAUCGCAGCGCCUUUGAUACUGAUGGGCUUGAAUGUAGUUGAGGUAGGCGGAAUGUGACAAGUAGCGGUGAAAUGCAUAGAUAUGUCACAGAACACCAAUUGCGAAGGCAGCUUACUAAAGUAUGAUUGACGCUGAGGCACGAAAGCGUGGGGAUCAAACAGG
RNAcentral lists this ribosomal RNA (253 nucleotides) under uncultured bacterium. Its description in RNAcentral is "partial 16S ribosomal RNA". It matches the Rfam family "Bacterial small subunit ribosomal RNA", at positions 524 to 776 of the family's 1533-position model. The record is from RNAcentral.